This 557-nucleotide ribosomal RNA is filed under the name Mesorhizobium sp. BvORR103. RNAcentral's name for it is "bacterial SSU rRNA". It matches the Rfam family "Bacterial small subunit ribosomal RNA", at positions 102 to 694 of the family's 1533-position model. RNAcentral also lists the same sequence under 1 other name. The record is from RNAcentral. Lineage: Bacteria; Pseudomonadati; Pseudomonadota; Alphaproteobacteria; Hyphomicrobiales; Phyllobacteriaceae.
ACGGGUGAGUAACGCGUGGGAAUCUACCCAUCUCUACGGAACAACUCCGGGAAACUGGAGCUAAUACCGUAUACGUCCUUCGGGAGAAAGAUUUAUCGGAGAUGGAUGAGCCCGCGUUGGAUUAGCUAGUUGGUGGGGUAAUGGCCUACCAAGGCGACGAUCCAUAGCUGGUCUGAGAGGAUGAUCAGCCACAUUGGGACUGAGACACGGCCCAAACUCCUACGGGAGGCAGCAGUGGGGAAUAUUGGACAAUGGGCGAAAGCCUGAUCCAGCCAUGCCGCGUGAGUGAUGAAGGCCCUAGGGUUGUAAAGCUCUUUCAACGGUGAAGAUAAUGACGGUAACCGUAGAAGAAGCCCCGGCUAACUUCGUGCCAGCAGCCGCGGUAAUACGAAGGGGGCUAGCGUUGUUCGGAAUUACUGGGCGUAAAGCGCACGUAGGCGGAUUGUUAAGUUAGGGGUGAAAUCCCGGGGCUCAACCCCGGAACUGCCUUUAAUACUGGCAAUCUCGAGUCCGAGAGAGGUGAGUGGAAUUCCGAGUGUAGAGGUGAAAUUCGUAGA